This 253-nucleotide ribosomal RNA is filed under the name uncultured bacterium. Its description in RNAcentral is "partial 16S ribosomal RNA". It matches the Rfam family "Bacterial small subunit ribosomal RNA", at positions 524 to 776 of the family's 1533-position model. The record is from RNAcentral.
UACGGAGGGUGCAAGCGUUGUCCGGAUUUAUUGGGUUUAAAGGGUGCGUAGGCGGCCCUUCAAGUCGGGUGUGAAAGCCCUCGGCUCAACCGAGGAACUGCGCCCGAUACUGUGGGGCUUGAGGGAGACAGAGGUAAGCGGAACUGAUGGUGGAGCGGUGAAAUGCGUUGAUAUCAUCAGGAACACCAGUGGCGAAAGCGGCUUACUGGGUCUCUUCUGACGCUGAGAUACGAAAGCUAGGGGAGCGAACGGG